UGUAAAAUAAGCUAAAUAUCAAGCUUUUGGGUUCAUACCCCAAAUAUGAAUGGACUAUUCUUUUACAA
This 68-nucleotide transfer RNA is filed under the name Conus nobilis. Its description in RNAcentral is "tRNA-Met". The record is from RNAcentral. Lineage: Eukaryota; Metazoa; Mollusca; Gastropoda; Neogastropoda; Conidae.